Meleagris gallopavo (turkey) is the source of this 3346-nucleotide non-coding RNA. The record is from RefSeq and is a predicted model, not a curated record. NCBI's taxonomy places the organism in Eukaryota, Metazoa, Chordata, Aves, Galliformes, Phasianidae.
UGCACCACUUCUGCCCUCAGUCUCAAGGCAAGGAAGUAAUCAUCAUGACUUAUUCAGCCCACUAGAGAUCUAAGAAUUCAUGGAGAAGUUAAUGUUUUAAUUGACCUUCCUAAAACAUGAAAACUGCAAACCUGAGACAAGCAAGGCAAGCUAGAAGGAUAGGUCUGCUGCCCCAUGUAAAAACUAACAGUGCAGUGUUAGCAGUGAAUGCAGCGUGGGGGAUUAACACAUGUAGUACGGCUGUCAGAGGUGAGGUGUGUGUCCACUGGUGGAUCCAGGGCGUGUACUGCAGACACCAGUUCUGGCUUAUGGAAAGCAUCAGCUGCUAUAUCUGGGCUCAAUUAAGUAUGGAUAACGUGUUCAGUUGAAGUAAUGUAAAAUUUUAUGUUUAGCUUGUAUUUAUCUGGUAUUCAGAUAUUCAUGACCAUCCCGGUCAGCAACAAAGUGAUUUAAAAGUUAAAGAAACCAGAACUGGGCUUUCCAGAAGAAUGAAGAAGAGAAACAAAAUUUAUGCUAUUUUCUAAGCAAGAAUGAAAUAAUUACAAGUUAGAACAGAGGUAUCCUACAUGUUCACAGAAAGGAGAGCAGGAGAAGGUUAUUGUUGCAUUCACAUUUUGAAGGCACGUUCUUACAAACCAUAUAGGGCCUACUGAAUUAUUUUCUAUUUUCAGGUUGGGAAUGAAGAAAAAAAAACAAACAAACCAGAUGAACGUUUGCCAACUUUCUCCAUCGCAAAGUUCAGUACAAGAGGUCACCGAUGUAACAGAGAAACAGCAGAAGAGGUUGUAAUGCGAACAGUUGAAGAUCUUUCUAAUCUAUAACUCAUGUCUCAGCAUCUGCUGGAUCUGACCAUAAGGAACAUCUAAAAGUUUUUCCAUCAUCAGGAUGAAGGCACUAUGUUUCUCUAUAGCAUCCUCAGAUAAGGCUGACCUACUAGCCAUAAAAUGAGGUAGCACUUGAUGAUACAACCUCCUUUUUUGGAACCUUUUCUGCUAUCAGAAGAUGACUGUGGAGCUUUUCCACACAAGCAUCACUGGAAAACUCCUCCUCUUUUGGUAGUGUUUUUCCUACAAGUUGGAUGAAGAGUGCGUGCACACUCGGCCAAGCAUUUGCUGAAGAAAUCUGUGCCCAUGGCUGAGGGAUGCUUGCUAAAUGGACUGUUGUGCUUUCAAAAUGCACUUUCCCUAUUGCCCUGACCUGAAACAAAGCCCCAUGGCAAUAAUUUUCCAUAGCUGAGAGACCUUUAAAUUGAAAUGUUGGGAAGUUGCCUUUCCAUUGGCUCCAGCCCAUUGUUCUCAAUAGCCCACUUACUUUAACUUCCAGCUGUCCUAAUAGAGGCAGAAUAGUCAGCUCCCUGCUUCGUGCUGUGCUAUCAAAUGUCUCCCUGUCUCCUGGUGUGCAAGCUUUGCUCUUUUGGGGGAAAAUCCUUUAGAAAUCAGGUAUUUCUGAUACACAUUUUCACACUAACAUGCUGAACAUCUUAACUAGGAUGUAAAUUUUCUGUUAAGCUGUUUAGGCUAGGAAGGUAACAGCUGUGUCUUGGUUUUAUACCAGGAUUCCUGGAUACUGACUGAUAGCAUUCUGGGGAGCUCAGAAAAGGCUUUUUUCUUGAAGUUUGCUGCUCUUCUCUGCCUCUCUAGGUGGUUUGUUAUCUUGCCAUGGUGCUUUUCAUUUCCCACUGCUCUUCCUCUGCUUUUCUACCCUCUCUCAGGAGCUGGAUAGAAACAUCUUUUGAACUGAAUGAAGUUCAUUUCUCUCUCCUCCACUUGUCUUUCUUCAUUGUUUUCCUUCAGAGCCUUAGUGCCCUCUCCGCACCACCCACCAUUUCCCUAGGGAAUUUUUUGGUGUGGUGAGAAGGGCGAGGGAACCAGGACAGAAGGCUCAGUUAUUCUUAUGACCAGAGAUAAGACAGUGUAGUAUUUGUUACCACAGUUUUGUGUGCUUUGCCUGAAGUACAUAGGAUUUCCUCCAGGGUAGGAGAGUUUUUCAGAGAGGAGAUGGUAUUUAGGAACUCAAAUGCCUUGAAGUCUGAUCCUCCUUUUUCUCCCCAUGAGUGACAAAGAUGAAAUCUUAUAGUACUUCACAUAGCUUCCACACCAAGAUUGAUGCUUUCUUCAGAGUCUGAAGGAAUUACAGCCAUCUGUGUCUGGCCAGAGUUAUCAAGUGCUGCAUAGUAAAAAAGUUAAAAAUAAAAGGAAAAGGAACGAUUCUUCAGGCCACAAGGAUUUGGAUGUCCGCAGCCAACCCGUUCUCUAACCAAACCCCUUGGAGAGCUAAAACCGAACUUUACUCUUUGUGGAAGGGUGGAUGAACAGAUAGAGAUAGAGGAGCAUGAUGAAGAAGAGACACCCAGCAAGAACCCUGCCUAACAACAGAAGCACAGAAUGAGUUCAUGCAUUAUUAACCAUAAAGAAUCCACAUGAUUUUCUUCCUGCCCCAUUGGUUCUCCCAUUCUUUCACAACUCCGUUCAUGUAUUGUUGUGAUGGAUUCUGCGCUCAGUAUUGACUGAGAACCUGACCUGGCUCCCGCUGAAGACGGUUGCAGGACUCCCAUUGACUUUGACGGCAGAUGGAUCUGAAGUAGAAUGUGAAUGAGCAGAUAUGUUCUGGAUGUUUAAGACAUUUAUUGACUCUCAGACUUCAGUUUUGCCCAAAGCAGAAUGAAGUUAAAUAAUUGUGGGUUAAUGAUUUUUAUUUUGACAUGAGGACAGUGAUGAGAGAGGUAAAAGAGAAGUGCACCUCCUAAUUAUAUUACUGACAUAACAGGAUAUAGAAGUGUGCAGUAGGCCCUGCUACAGCAAAGCAGAUAAGCACAGGCUUAAAAUUAAGCAUUUAUUUAAGGGUUUUGCUGAAUAAGGAUGAGAUCAUUCAAAUACUUAAAGUUAAAUGCAUGCUUAAGUGCUUUGCUGAAUCUGGGCCCAGAUACAUAAACCAUUAAACAGUCACUUUAAGAAAACGGUGGAAAGCUGUUAUACAAAUUCUAGACCUUUUAAGUCAUACCUCCUACCUUUCCCACUCUCUCUCUUUCUUAUUAGCUCAAGGAGGAGGUUUUUAAAGCUCCAGUUCACGAAAAAUUAUAAUGUUCAUUGCUACUCAAUUGUAAUUCAAAUUGCUCCACACAGCCCCAAGCAUGUGUUCAAACAUAUAAUCAAGCAAACAGGAGACUUGAAUCUUGCCAGUUGGAAUACUGUCGGUCGCAGAUGCCACUUCUUUUUUCUGUAAGCAUAAAUGAAGCUGGGGAGAAAGGUUGAUAUAAACUGGCUUUUGCUGUCCGUUUUUGGUCCUCUGUUCCUGUGGCUUGGGUUAUUCGGGUACAUGUUGCUUUGUGUCUGUGAGGGCUCCAUUU